GUAUGGGGCACAGAGGUUUCAGAAAUGCACACAGGACAAAACACUUGGUUUCUGACUAAAGCCCAAGCGCUGAGAAACCAGGGUGCACGGUGAAGAAAGAUGGCUGGGGCUUGGAAGUUGAAGCUCUAGUAGUCUGAAGGUCAUACUCCUAUUCUGGCAGCACACAAUUACCCAGACGGAAGAGAAGCAGGAGCUGUACCCCUUUCCAAGGCACAGUGGGGCAGCUGAGGCUACGAACUGACACGAGCGGUAAUGGCAUCACCUCCUCAGGAACAACUGAAGGUCAACAGGCCACCAGGCUCAGGAUGAAGAUAGGACUGUACCCCAUCCUCUUCUGAGAGUCCAUCUGCAUUGCAAGUUUAGAAAAACCACUUUUUGGUUGACUGCUCCUUGUUAUGUGUAGGCUGGGCUGUGGGAAACUGUCAGGCUUUGAAGAAAACUCAUGGUUUUCUAGUGUCUGAGAACCAGACACUCCCUUCUCUACAGAAAAUGAAGGUGGCCAUAAGCACUGGCCAAGAAAAAUUUGCAUCAGUGGGUGU
This is a long non-coding RNA of Falco peregrinus (peregrine falcon), 539 nucleotides long. RefSeq lists it as uncharacterized. The transcript is spliced from 3 exons. The record is from RefSeq and is a predicted model, not a curated record. NCBI's taxonomy places the organism in Eukaryota, Metazoa, Chordata, Aves, Falconiformes, Falconidae.